GGUUGCCCCUUUAAAUUCCCAGUAUUUCGGUAAUUUGCACCUGUCUCUCGCAUCGCGCUUCCUUCCCCUAUAUGCGGCGUUUAACCAACCAUACGACUCCCUCACUCUCCACCGCCACGACCACUCAAUUUCGUGGUCAUCGUUACACAUGUCAAGCCUUCGUUCCCUGCAACACCUCUGUUGAUUUGUUCACUUCCACUCUCCAAUUUCUGGUGUUUCAUUCUUUUUAGUAACAUGAAUCUCUCAUUUCAAACACAUCCACAAGCUCUAAACCUCACUAUAGAACCUGAGUUUAAAUGAUUUUAGAAGUUGCGACGAGUUAAACAUAUACUCCUCACUCUCUAUACCGAUUUAAAGUAUACGCUGCCACGAUUUUAAAUCCUGCACCGAUUUCAAGCCCUAAUUUUCACUAUCGAUCCGAUUUGAAGAUUUGGUGCUUCCUAUCCAACAGUUUGCAGGUCAUAAUAUGUUUAGAGUUGUGGAAAUACCCAAUUUAUUUGGUCAUUUGAUCCUCCUAUCAAUGAAGAAGUUCUUGUUUGUGAUCUGAUUCUUAGUCUAUGGAUGAGCUAUGAAGUCCGUCUUGGCUAAAUCUUCUUUACUACCUUCACCACAUAUCGCUUCUUCUCACCAUCGUUCACCACCACAAUCUCUCCUUAACAACAAAGUCCUCUAGCAUAUGCGCAUGUUCUCUUAUCAUUUGACCUUGAUUUCAAAUUUCAAAGCUCUAACCUCAGGUAGCAUUUCUGAACUCGAUAUCUAUGGUGUUUUGACCUCAUGAUAUUUCUAUAAGAGAAGUUUUUCUCUCUGCUAUUAUGGGAUCACAUUUAGAUUUUGGUCAGGUUUUCUCAUUAAUCUUUUCAUUUAGUCAAUGUUCUUGACAUGAAUAAGGGUAUUUUGUCUCAAUCUCUUUCUUUAUAUUAAGGAAUUGAACUUCAUUUUUUUUGAAUUAAGGCAUUGCACUUCCAAAAUCAAGUCUCUUCCCGGUUUAGUGAAUUGUUUGCUGAUGUAUGUUUUUCUAAAUUAUAUUGACAUGAAAUAAUUAAUUUAAAAUGUAAUGUUUUUCUAAGUACAUAAUUAAAAUACAACGAUUUAAUGAGAAAAUAAACUUAAAGCAUAUAGUUUAGUUAGAAAAAAAUAAAAUAGUUGUUUGCGUGGAAAAAGACCAUAAUAUAGUAUUGUUGAUUUGAAAAACCAAUGUACUAGAACCAAAUAUUAAUAUAAGUACAUUUUUAGUUGAUAUGUUGUUUUUAAUUUGUUCUUUUAAUCGCUUCUAACGGAUGUACUAUAUACACGACUUUGAUAUAAAGGGCGUGUUUGGCACAGAGCUUUAGGAAGCGUUUGGGAGCUUCUAGCUUUUAGCUUUUGACAAAACGCUUUAGUUUAAACAAAAAGCUUCGUUUGGUAGUACGAGCGUUUAGCUUUUAGUUUUAACAAAACGCUCCGAUUCUAAAAGCUACUUCAUGUAGCUUUUAACAAAACGCUCCAGAGCUUUUGAAAUCAAUUUCUAUAAUUACCCUUAAAAAUAUAUUUAUAUAUUUUUUUAUUUUUAAUCAAUUGUCCUUUUAUGUAAUUUUAUAUAUUUCAAAAGCUUCCAGCUACUUUUGCCAAACAUUCAUAUAACAAAUAAAAGCUACAGCUUUCCGCUACCAACUACCUGCUACCAGCUAACCGCUACCCGCUUCCAGCUAACAGCUACUUUUGCCAAACACGCCCAAAGGAGGUGAACCAAUGUUGAAGGCAAUAGAGAAGAAAAUAUAUCAUAUAUGGUGGAAAUGAAAUCUCUGAUUCAUCUAGGUGCUAGCUGCUGGAAAAUGUGUUUGCUGACCCAAAAGGCUAUGGAAUAGGAUAUAUGUGUUUAUAUUUUUGAAGGAAGUAGCAAUGUACACAGUACAUUCAGCCCCAUUCCAAACUUUAACCUUUUGAGCAAUAUAUUAAGCACAUUAAAUAAAUUAAGUCAAUUAAUGCAAUAAACAUUGAUGUUCCAUGAUUUUUCAAAGUUUUUUAAUGUUUUUCGGUU
Lactuca sativa (garden lettuce) is the source of this 2017-nucleotide long non-coding RNA. RefSeq lists it as uncharacterized. The record is from RefSeq and is a predicted model, not a curated record. NCBI's taxonomy places the organism in Eukaryota, Viridiplantae, Streptophyta, Magnoliopsida, Asterales, Asteraceae.